This 138-nucleotide small RNA is filed under the name Photorhabdus cinerea. RNAcentral's name for it is "RtT sRNA". It matches the Rfam family "RtT RNA". Rfam says of the family: This family represents a bacterial cis-regulatory element known as RtT RNA. Lineage: Bacteria; Pseudomonadati; Pseudomonadota; Gammaproteobacteria; Enterobacterales; Morganellaceae. The record is from RNAcentral.
UAUUCCCCAUUCAGGGGAAGGUUGAGAACCUUCGCCAAGGUUCGAGUUGAGCGCAACGAAACAACAACGCGACGCUUGCGACGCGUUGGCCCGCAAGGGCGAGGAACGCAGUGACGAGUCAUCCUUCCCCCACCACCA